This 459-nucleotide ribosomal RNA is filed under the name uncultured bacterium. RNAcentral's name for it is "partial 16S ribosomal RNA". It matches the Rfam family "Bacterial small subunit ribosomal RNA", at positions 338 to 795 of the family's 1533-position model. The record is from RNAcentral.
CCUACGGGAGGCAGCAGUGAGGAAUAUUGGUCAAUGGGCGCAGGCCUGAACCAGCCAAGUCGCGUGAGGGAAGACUGCCCUAUGGGUUGUAAACCUCUUUUAUAAGGGAAGAAUAAUGACUACGUGUAGUCAGAUGCCCGUACCUUAUGAAUAAGCAUCGGCUAACUCCGUGCCAGCAGCCGCGGUAAUACGGAGGAUGCGAGCGUUAUCCGGAUUUAUUGGGUUUAAAGGGUGCGUAGGCGGUAUUUUAAGUUAGUGGUAAAACGUCGGGGCUUCACCUUGAUUGGCCAUUAAAACUGGAGUACUAGAGUACAGACGAGGUAGGCGGAAUAAGUUAAGUAGCGGUGAAAUGCUUAGAUAUAACUUAGAACCCCGAUAGCGAAGGCAGCUUACCAGACUGUUACUGACGCUGAAGCACGAGAGCGUGGGUAGCGAACAGGAUUAGAUACCCCAGUAGUC